AAAGCCUGACCCAGCAACGCCGCGUGAAGGAUGAAAUCCCUCGGGAUGUAAACUUCAUAAGAACGGGAAGAAUAAGUAAGGGUUAAUAUCCCUUGCGAUGACGGUACCGUUAGUAAGCUCCGGCUAACUCCGUGCCAGCAGCCGCGGUAAUACGGGGGGAGCAAGCGUUGUUCGGAUUUACUGGGCGUAAAGGGCGCGUAGGCGGCCACCGCAAGUCGACUGUGAAAUCUCCGGGCUUAACCCGGAAAGGUCAGCCGAUACUGCGGGGCUAGAGUGCAGAAGGGGCAACUGGAAUUCUCGGUGUAGCGGUGAAAUGCGUAGAUAUCGAGAGGAACACCUGCGGCGAAGGCGGGUCGCUGGGCUGACACUGACGCUGAGGCGCGAAAGCUAGGGGAGCGAACGGGAUUAGAUACCCCGGUAGUCCUAGCCUUAAACGAUGAAUGCUUGGUGUCUGGGGUUACAUAGUCCCCGGGUGCCGCUGCUAACGCUUUAAGCAUUCCGCCUGGGGAGUACGGUCGCAAGACUG
This 526-nucleotide ribosomal RNA is filed under the name uncultured bacterium. Its description in RNAcentral is "bacterial SSU rRNA". It matches the Rfam family "Bacterial small subunit ribosomal RNA", at positions 378 to 896 of the family's 1533-position model. The record is from RNAcentral.